Molecule: long non-coding RNA, 124 nt
Organism: Sphaeramia orbicularis (orbiculate cardinalfish)
Lineage: Eukaryota; Metazoa; Chordata; Actinopteri; Kurtiformes; Apogonidae
Exons: 3
Source: RefSeq, a predicted model, not a curated record
AAUCACUUCCCUCAUGGUGAACAACUUCAAAAAUGACUCCAUCAUAAACACAGUCCACUUGUUUUCAUAAUCAACCCAAAUGUCACUUGGACCUUUUCGGAAAGUUUGUCGCAAAUUGAAGAAA